UCUAAUCCUUUCAAAUUCGGACUCCUCUUUAUGGUGCAUUUAUCAUAGGCUUUUGGAAGGCUGAAGGACAUUUUUUGAGGCUUGCAAAUGAAGGAUGAACCUAGUCAAAAUGGUUGGGAGUUUUGCUGCAACUUCCCAAGGUUAAUUAAUUGCUGCCAAGACUUUAAGUAGUAUUCCUUUCAUCUUCACCAACUUUCAUUUAAUGUUUUUUCUAGAUGGUUCAAUGCACCCAAGGCUUGUUUUGCCUAUAAAUACUUGGU
RNAcentral lists this long non-coding RNA (260 nucleotides) under Phoenix dactylifera (date palm). RNAcentral's name for it is "long non-coding RNA (PDAC_LNC009097)". The record is from RNAcentral. Lineage: Eukaryota; Viridiplantae; Streptophyta; Magnoliopsida; Arecales; Arecaceae.